CCAGCCAUGCCGCGUGAUGAUGACGGUCCUAUGAUUGGUAAGCUGUUUCUCGCUAAAAAAAACGCCUCUACUCGGAGAAAUUUCCCCGGCUCGCUUCAAGCCAGAUCGCCCGGCUCCACGACAGGGGCUACGGUUGUUCGGAAGAUCCGGGCGUUAUCCGGAAUCAUUGGGAUUAUUGGGUCCGGAGGGAGAUCCCGCAGCUCAUCUGCAAAACUGCCUUUUAUACUGUUUAUCUUGCGUUGGGACUACGUAACUGGAAUUGCUAGGAAGUAACUGAAAUAUGUAGUGUAUCGGUGAAAUGCUUAGAGAUUACAUGGAAUACCAAUUGCUAAGGCAGGUUACUACUAAUGGAUUGACGCUGAUGGACGAAAGCGUGGGUAGCGAACAGGAUUACAUACCCUGGUAGUCCACGCCGUAAACGAUGGAUACUAGCUGUUGGGCGCAAGUUCAGUGGCUAAUCGAAAGUGAUAAGUAUCCCACCUGGGGAGUACGUUCGCAAGAAUGAAACUCAAAGGAAUUGACGGGGGCCCGCACAAGCGGUGGAGCAUGUGGUUUAAUUCGAUGAUACGCGAGGAACCUUACCAAGGCUUAAAUGUAAUUUGACCGAUUUGGAAACAGAUCUUUC
This 625-nucleotide ribosomal RNA is filed under the name Flavobacteriaceae bacterium Ri3Pt_6463. RNAcentral's name for it is "bacterial SSU rRNA". It matches the Rfam family "Bacterial small subunit ribosomal RNA", at positions 388 to 1016 of the family's 1533-position model. Lineage: Bacteria; Pseudomonadati; Bacteroidota; Flavobacteriia; Flavobacteriales; Flavobacteriaceae. The record is from RNAcentral.